GGCCGCGGCCCCCGCCCCUGCGCUGUCGGGCGGGGAGGUCGGAAACCCCCUGGCGAGACCACGGGCGGACGCUUCCCGAAGAGCUGCCUGGGCUGCAGCCGCGGAAGCUGCGUUCUGGGGAGCGGGGAGCGUGCUCCGGCGCCUUCGGGCCGCUGCUGGAAGCCGGAACCGAGCCCGGGCCGCUGCCCCUCACCGGACGCCGCGCGCCACCGGCCCUCCGCGGGGCAGGGGCUGCUGCGAGCUCGCCGGGCGCCCUUUAGACAGUCGUCCUUGUCUACUCCACUACCAAAUGUUGAAGUUCUUCAAGAAUCAGUCCUUUGGAGGCAUUUAAGGAAAUCUGUUUCUCUUUUGGAUCACUAGCUGCAAAUUAAGCUAACAGAACAGGAGCUCAGCUGGUCACACACAGCAACGAAUACAGACUUUAUAAAGUUCAGAAAAGUUACCAAACAGUGGUAACCAUAACAAGUACCAACAAUGAACUAUGGGGAGGGAGGAGAAUCUGAUUUCCAGAGUUACCACAUUAUAAUACUAUUCAAAAUGUCACAUUUUUAGCAAAGAUUACAUGACAAGGAAAAACCAGAAAAGUAUGGCCCAUACACAGGUAAAAAAAGAAAUUAAUAGAAACUACCCCUGAAGAAGCACAGACUUCGGAUGUACAAAACAAAGACUUUUCAUCAACUCUUUUAGAUAUGCUAGAAGAGCUAAAGGAAACCAUGGACAGAGAACAAAAAAAUUAGGAAAGCAAUGUCUCAUCCAAUACAGAAUAUCAAUAAAGAGAUUGAAAUUGUAGAAAAGAACCAAAUAGAAAUUCUGGAGUUGAAAAGUAUUAUAACUAAAACUGAAAAUUCACUAGAGGUAUUCAGCAGCAGACUGGAGAAGUCAGAAGAAAGAAUCAACAGGCUUCAAGAUAGGUCAAUUAAGAUUAUACAGUCUGAGGAGCAGAAAGGAAAAAGAAUGAAGAAAAAUGAACAGAGCAUAAAAGACCUCUGGGACUCUAUCAAGCAUACCAGUAUAUGCAUGAGGGGAGUCCCAGAAGGAGAAGAAAGAGAGAAAGGGACAUAAUAUUUGAAGAAAUAAUGGUAGAAAAUGUCCCAGCUUUGAUGAAAUACAUGAAUCUAGAUAUUCAAGAGGCUCAAAGAACCCUAAAUAGGGUAAACUCAAAAAGACCCACACCGGAAUGCAAAAGUGAGCUGGGUGUGGUGGCACGUGCCUGUGGUCCCAGCUACUCGAGAGGCUAAGGCAGGAAAAUCGCUUGAACCCAGGAGGCAGAGAUUGCGGUGAGCCGGGAUUGCGCCAGUGCACUCCAGCUGGGCGACAGAGCGAGAUUCCAUCUCGAAAAAAAAAAAAAAAAAAAAAAAAAACUAUUGCUGCAGUCAUUCAGAUGGAAAUGGGGAAAGAAUAAUAUUAACUGAUUUCAAAAAGGACUUGAAGAUGUGAAUCAUCUAUUUUGCUGAAGAAAUCUUAACUCUUUGAAAUUACUUUUUGUUGCUGUUGUCAUACUCUUAGGUGCCAAACUGCGGUAAAUUUUUUAUCAGUGAAGUGGAAGCAUGUGUUUUGUUGUUUUGGGAAUUUUUAUCAAGUAUCUUCAGAGAAGAUUAUUUCCUGCUUUAUCUUCAAAAACUGGAAAGGAAGGGUCAAAGAAAAGACAGUAGCUGGCCGGUCAUGGUGGCUCAUGCCUGUAAUCCCAACACUUUGGGAGGCUGAGGUGGGCAGAUCACCUGAGGUUGGGAGUUCGAGGCCAGCCUGACCAACGUGGAGAAAUGCCAUCUCUACUAAAGAUGCAAGGAUUGGCCGGGCGUGGUGGUGCGUGCCUGUGAUCCCAGCUGCUCAGGAGGCUGAGGCAGGAGAAUCGCUUGGACCUGGGAGGUGGAGGUUGCGGUGAGCUGAGAUCACGCCAUUGCACUCCAGCCUGGGCAACAAGCGAAACUCUGUCUCAAAAAAAAAGAAAAGACAGUAGCUUAUGUUCAUGUCAAGCACCUCUCAUCACAGUCUAGUUCCAAGGAAAAAAUUCCCAGCGUUUUCUACAUUCGGUGCUGCGUCAUCUGAAAUCGGCACAUUCCAUGGAGGAAGGAGUCCUGCUUUGUUGCAUGUAUCCUAGGGUUUAAUGUUGGUAAAUGAGUCACUCUAGCAUUUGUAGAAGGCUCCCUGAGACUCCUGCAGCAGUCGACCAAGCCCAAGGACAUAAUUGAAUCUGGAGAGUCCUGGGGCCUUGUUUUGAAAAAGACUUGAAAUACACAUAGGAAGAAAGGCAUAAAAAUAAAUGUUCACUUGUCUCUGCUGUGA
Molecule: long non-coding RNA, 2283 nt
Filed under: Homo sapiens (human)
Lineage: Eukaryota; Metazoa; Chordata; Mammalia; Primates; Hominidae
Description: non-protein coding WAC-AS1:15
Source: RNAcentral